GAUGAACGCUGGCGGCGUGCCUAAUACAUGCAAGUCGAGCGAACAGAUGAGGAGCUUGCUCCUCUGACGUUAGCGGCGGACGGGUGAGUAACACGUGGAUAACCUACCUAUAAGACUGGGAUAACUACGGGAAACCGGAGCUAAUACCGGAUAAUAUAUUGAACCGCAUGGUUCAAUAGUGAAAGACGGCUUUGCUGUCACUUAUAGAUGGAUCCGCGCCGCAUUAGCUAGUUGGUAAGGUAACGGCUUACCAAGGCAACGAUGCGUAGCCGACCUGAGAGGGUGAUCGGCCACACUGGAACUGAGACACGGUCCAGACUCCUACGGGAGGCAGCAGUAGGGAAUCUUCCGCAAUGGGCGAAAGCCUGACGGAGCAACGCCGCGUGAGUGAUGAAGGUCUUCGGAUCGUAAAACUCUGUUAUUAGGGAAGAACAAAUGUGUAAGUAACUAUGCACGUCUUGACGGUACCUAAUCAGAAAGCCACGGCUAACUACGUG
Molecule: ribosomal RNA, 497 nt
Filed under: uncultured bacterium
Lineage: Bacteria
Description: partial 16S ribosomal RNA
Rfam family: Bacterial small subunit ribosomal RNA
Source: RNAcentral